UGUUCCCUGCGGUGUUCGAGCUGGCCUUGCGUUCUUUGAACCAAUGCUACGUUAGCGAGGUCGCCGCGCCUUAAUGGGCCGGUGUGCGUUUCCUACGCGGACGCGCCUAAUGGCCCUGGUAGGCGACCCUCUUGAACCCAGGUUCAGGAUGAUGGCCGGCACGGCACAGGCGGGGGACAC
This 180-nucleotide non-coding RNA is filed under the name Betaproteobacteria bacterium. Its description in RNAcentral is "6S RNA". It matches the Rfam family "6S / SsrS RNA". From Rfam's summary of the family: E. coli 6S RNA was the first non coding RNA to be sequenced, but its function was unknown until recently. It consists of 184 nucleotides that fold into an extended hairpin structure with a large single-stranded internal bulge. The record is from RNAcentral. Lineage: Bacteria; Pseudomonadati; Pseudomonadota; Betaproteobacteria.